CCUACGGGUGGCUGCAGUGGGGGAUAUUGCACAAUGGGGGAAACCCUGAUGCAGCGACGCCGCGUGUGGGAAGACGGUCCUCUGGAUUGUAAACCACUGUCCCCAGGGACGAAAAUGACGGUACCUGGGGAGGAAGCUCCGGCUAACUACGUGCCAGCAGCCGCGGUAAUACGUAGGGAGCGAGCGUUGUCCGGAAGUACUGGGUGUAAAGGGAGCGUAGGCGGGGAUGCAAGUUAGGUGUAAAAACUACCGGCUCAACUGGUAGUCGCACUCAAAACUGCAUCUCUUGAGUGAAGUAGAGGCAGGCGGAAUUCCUAGUGUAGCGGUGAAAUGCGUAGAUAUUAGGAGGAACACCAGUGGCGAAGGCGGCCUGCUGGGCUUUUACUGACGCUGAGGCUCGAAAGUGUGGGGAGCAAACAGGAUUAGAUACCCCGGUAGUC
This 440-nucleotide ribosomal RNA is filed under the name uncultured bacterium. RNAcentral describes it as "partial 16S ribosomal RNA". It matches the Rfam family "Bacterial small subunit ribosomal RNA", at positions 338 to 795 of the family's 1533-position model. The record is from RNAcentral.